GUGUCAGCAGCCGCGGUAAGACAGAGGUGCCAAGCGUUAGGCGGAAUCACUGGGCUUAAAGCGUGUGUAGGCGGAAUGGUAAGUACCUUGUGAAAUCCCACGGCUCAACCGUGGAACUGCUGGGUAUACUGCCUUUCUUGAGCCACUUAGGGGCUGUCGGAACAAACGGUGGAGCGGUGAAAUGCGUAGAUAUCGUUUGGAACGCCAAUGGUGAAAACAGACAGCUGGGAGUGUGCUGACGCUGAGACACGAAAGCCAGGGGAGCGAACGGGAUUAGAAACCCUUGUAGUCC
Molecule: ribosomal RNA, 292 nt
Filed under: uncultured bacterium
Lineage: Bacteria
Description: partial 16S ribosomal RNA
Rfam family: Bacterial small subunit ribosomal RNA
Source: RNAcentral